RNAcentral lists this ribosomal RNA (385 nucleotides) under uncultured bacterium. RNAcentral describes it as "bacterial SSU rRNA". It matches the Rfam family "Bacterial small subunit ribosomal RNA", at positions 30 to 416 of the family's 1533-position model. The record is from RNAcentral.
AUUGAACGCUGGCGGCAUGCCUUACACAUGCAAGUCGAACGGCAGCACGGGCUUCGGUCUGGUGGCGAGUGGCGAACGGGUGAGUAAUGUAUCGGAACGUACCUUUCAGUGGGGGAUAACGUAGCGAAAGUUACGCUAAUACCGCAUAUUCUGUGAGCAGGAAAGCAGGGGAUCGCAAGACCUUGCGCUGAUUGAGCGGCCGAUAUCAGAUUAGCUAGUUGGUGAGGUAAAGGCUCACCAAGGCGACGAUCUGUAGCGGGUCUGAGAGGAUGAUCCGCCACACUGGAACUGAGACACGGUCCAGACUCCUACGGGAGGCAGCAGUGGGGAAUUUUGGACAAUGGGGGCACCCUGAUCCAGCCAUGCCGCGUGAGUGAAGAAGGCC